UACGUAGGGAGCAAGCGUUGUCCGGAAUUACUGGGCGUAAAGGGUGCGUAGGCGGUUUGUCAAGUCGAAUGUGAAAUACCGGGGCUUAACCUCGGGGCUGCAUUCGAAACUGGCAGACUUGAGUGCAGGAGAGGAAAGCGGAAUUCCUAGUGUAGCGGUGAAAUGCGUAGAUAUUAGGAGGAACACCGGUGGCGAAGGCGGCUUUCUGGACUGUAACUGACGCUGAGGCACGAAAGCGUGGGGAGCAA
RNAcentral lists this ribosomal RNA (248 nucleotides) under uncultured Christensenellaceae bacterium. RNAcentral describes it as "partial 16S ribosomal RNA". It matches the Rfam family "Bacterial small subunit ribosomal RNA", at positions 524 to 771 of the family's 1533-position model. Lineage: Bacteria; Bacillati; Bacillota; Clostridia; Christensenellales; Christensenellaceae. The record is from RNAcentral.